AGAGUUUGAUCAUGGCUCAGAUUGAACGCUGGCGGCAGGCCUAACACAUGCAAGUCGAGCGGUAGCACAGAGAGCUUGCUCUCGGGUGACGAGCGGCGGACGGGUGAGUAAUGUCUGGGAAACUGCCUGAUGGAGGGGGAUAACUACUGGAAACGGUAGCUAAUACCGCAUAACGUCGCAAGACCAAAGUGGGGGACCUUCGGGCCUCAUGCCAUCAGAUGUGCCCAGAUGGGAUUAGCUAGUAGGUGGGGUAACGGCUCACCUAGGCGACGAUCCCUAGCUGGUCUGAGAGGAUGACCAGCCACACUGGAACUGAGACACGGUCCAGACUCCUACGGGAGGCAGCAGUGGGGAAUAUUGCACAAUGGGCGCAAGCCUGAUGCAGCCAUGCCGCGUGUGUGAAGAAGGCCUUCGGGUUGUAAAGCACUUUCAGCGGGGAGGAAGGCGGUGAGGUUAAUAACCUCAUCGAUUGACGUUACCCGCAGAAGAAGCACCGGCUAACUCCGUGCCAGCAGCCGCGGUAAUACGGAGGGUGCAAGCGUUAAUCGGAAUUACUGGGCGUAAAGCGCACGCAGGCGGUCUGUCAAGUCGGAUGUGAAAUCCCCGGGCUUAACCUGGGAACUGCAUUCGAAACUGGCAGGCUAGAGUCUUGUAGAGGGGGGUAGAAUUCCAGGUGUAGCGGUGAAAUGCGUAGAGAUCUGGAGGAAUACCGGUGGCGAAGGCGGCCCCCUGGACAAAGACUGACGCUCAGGUGCGAAAGCGUGGGGAGCAAACAGGAUUAGAUACCCUGGUAGUCCACGCCGUAAACGAUGUCGAUUUGGAGGUUGUGCCCUUGAGGCGUGGCUUCCGGAGCUAACGCGUUAAAUCGACCGCCUGGGGAGUACGGCCGCAAGGUUAAAACUCAAAUGAAUUGACGGGGGCCCGCACAAGCGGUGGAGCAUGUGGUUUAAUUCGAUGCAACGCGAAGAACCUUACCUGGUCUUGACAUCCACAGAACUUUGCAGAGAUGGUUUGGUGCCUUCGGGAACUGUGAGACAGGUGCUGCAUGGCUGUCGUCAGCUCGUGUUGUGAAAUGUUGGGUUAAGUCCCGCAACGAGCGCAACCCUUAUCCUUUGUUGCCAGCGGUCCGGCCGGGAACUCAAAGGAGACUGCCAGUGAUAAACUGGAGGAAGGUGGGGAUGACGUCAAGUCAUCAUGGCCCUUACGACCAGGGCUACACACGUGCUACAAUGGCAUAUACAAAGAGAAGCGACCUCGCGAGAGCAAGCGGACCUCAUAAAGUAUGUCGUAGUCCGGAUUGGAGUCUGCAACUCGACUCCAUGAAGUCGGAAUCGCUAGUAAUCGUAGAUCAGAAUGCUACGGUGAAUACGUUCCCGGGCCUUGUACACACCGCCCGUCACACCAUGGGAGUGGGUUGCAAAAGAAGUAGGUAGCUUAACCUUCGGGAGGGCGCUUACCACUUUGUGAUUCAUGACUGGGGUGAAGUCGUAACAAGGUAACCGUAGGGGAACCUGCGGUUGGAUCACCU
Molecule: ribosomal RNA, 1528 nt
Filed under: Klebsiella pneumoniae
Lineage: Bacteria; Pseudomonadati; Pseudomonadota; Gammaproteobacteria; Enterobacterales; Enterobacteriaceae
Description: bacterial SSU rRNA
Rfam family: Bacterial small subunit ribosomal RNA
Source: RNAcentral